This is a non-coding RNA of Hypholoma sublateritium FD-334 SS-4, 98 nucleotides long. NCBI's taxonomy places the organism in Eukaryota, Fungi, Basidiomycota, Agaricomycetes, Agaricales, Strophariaceae. The record is from the annotation of a GenBank genome assembly.
UCUUUGCUAGUAUAUCGGUUAGUACACGCGCCUGUCAUAUUGUAUGCAAUCAGUGCAAUUGUCCGCGCGAAAGCUGGGUUCGACUCCCAGGCAGAGAG